GGGUUAGUAUGUUGGUCAUGCCUCUGGUAUGUACUGGUCUCACUGAUUUCUCCUUCCUGAUGAACCUUGAUGCCAUUAAUUUGGUGUUUUGGAGAAUUUGGACUGUUACUUUGAAAAAAUUAGAGUGUUUAAAGCAGGCUAACGCUUGAAUACAUUAGCAUGGAAUAAUGAAAUAGGACGUUCGAUCCUAUUUUGUUGGUUUCUAGGAUUGACGUA
Molecule: ribosomal RNA, 216 nt
Filed under: Campeiostachys nutans
Lineage: Eukaryota; Viridiplantae; Streptophyta; Magnoliopsida; Poales; Poaceae
Description: Elymus nutans partial small subunit ribosomal RNA
Rfam family: Eukaryotic small subunit ribosomal RNA (bases 40-216)
Source: RNAcentral